CACGGAGUUAGCCGGGGCUUAUUCUCCCGGUACAGUCAUUAUCUUCCCGGGUGAAAGAGCUUUACAACCCUAGGGCCUUCAUCACUCACGCGGCAUUGCUGGAUCAGGCUUUCGCCCAUUGUCCAAUAUUCCCCA
RNAcentral lists this ribosomal RNA (135 nucleotides) under uncultured bacterium. RNAcentral describes it as "partial 16S ribosomal RNA". The record is from RNAcentral.